CCUACCCAAAUCCUAUAAAACGGCCCCACCCUUAUCUCUCUUCGCUGACUCUCUUUUCGGACUCAGCCCACCUGCACCCAGGUGAAAUAAACAGCUUUAUUGCUCACACAAAGCCUGUUUGGUGGUCUCUUCACACGGACGCGCAUGAAAGGUACUAAAUAAUAUUAUUUAAUAGUUGUCGAUUUAUACAGCAUACCAUUAAUGUUAAAACCGCUGUUGCAAGAGCAUUUAGACUCUUUUUUCAUAUGCUAUGUGGGAGGAAUGCUUGACUUCUAUUUUCCAUAAAUAUUGUAUAUAUACCUAGACUAAAAUGUCCUGUGUUUUCCACUGACAGCACUGAAUGGCAUCCUGCUAUCUUCAGGCAUCUCAAAUUGAAGUCACUACAGUUGGCUGGUACAUCAAGGGGCCAGCAGGGGCCACAGCACCAAAUCUUCUCUCACCAUUAUCCCAGAUAAAAAGAGUGUGCUGCCUGUAGCUGCUAGCACACUUUCUUUGAUAAGGGAGCACCCCAUAAGCUGUCCUGGAAAGGAAGGUGUUAGUUAAGUUGUGUUGCAGGUUGGAUUCUCCAGAGGCAGAUGCCUAGAAGUUUGGGGCCCAAGAGGUUUAUUUGGCACCAACACCUGUGGAAGAGAGAAGAAGCAGGAUUGGGCAGUGAAAGAUGUCCAGCAGUGAUAUGGGCAUGACAAAGUCUUGGCCAGAGGCUGUCUCUGUACCACCCACAGUGGGAUAUGUGCAGUGCAGUGACAUGAUGAUAGCUCACUGCAGCCUCAACCUCCCAGGCUCAGGCGAUCCUCCUGCCUCAGCCUCCUCAAGUCCUCCUUUGAAGAGGUAGCUGGACAUCACAUCAUUGUCUACCACGUAGUGUGUCUAGAUAAGGCUGGGAAAAGUGAGGUGGGUUAUCCCUGGGCAUCCUCUGGUUUAACAAGAGUAGGAACUCAGUUGACUGCUCUUGUUUCAUAUACCAUUAGACAAAUCCACAGCAGAAAGUGAAAGCACUGCCAGGUACAGUGACUCAUGCCUGUAUUCCUAGUGUUUAGGGAGACUGAGGCAGGAGGAUCGCUUGAGGCCAGGUGUUUGAGACCAGCCUGGGCAACAUAGCAAGACCCUGUCUCUACAAAAAUUUAAAAAAUUAGCCAGGUGUGGUGGUACACACCUAUAGUGCCAUCUACUCAGCAGGUUGAGGGAGGAGGAUCACUUAACCCGGGAGGCUGAGGCUGCAGUGAGCUGUGAUCACACCAAUGCACUUCAGCCUGGGCAACAGAUUGAGAGCCUGUCUCAAAAAAAAAAAAAAAAAGUGAAGGCACCAAGUGGCAAUUGUCACAGGCUGUGGCCUACUCAGGAAGCAGACUUGGAGAUGGAGAGUGGUGGACAGGAGGUUUGCUAGGGAGUGGUCUUGGGAUCACCACCUCUGGAAGGGGAAAGGAAGAAGGAUGGGGCAGGAAGAGAAGUUGGCUGAUGCAUUAGUCAGGGUUCGCUAGAGGGAAAGAACUAAUAGGAUAGAUGUAUAUAUGAAGAGGAGUUUAUUAGGGAGAAUCAACUCACAAGAUCACAAGGUGAAGUCCCACAAUAGGCUGUCUGCAAGCUAAGGAGCAAGGAAGCCAGUCUGAGUUCCAAAACCUCAAAAGUAGGGAAGCCGACAAUGUGGCCUUCAGUCUGUGGCCGAAAGCUCGAGAGCCCCUGGCAAACCACUGGUCUAAGUCCAGGAGUCCAAAAGCUGAAGAGCUUGGAGUCUGAUGUUCAAGAGCAGGAAGCAUUCAGCAAGAGAGAAAGAUGAAGGCCAGAAAACUCAGUAAGUCUGCUCUUUCUACCUUUUUCAGCCUGCUUUAUUCUAGCAGCUGAUUAGAUGGUGCCCACCCAGAUUGCAGGUGGGUCUGCCUCUCCCAGUCCACUGACUCAAAUGUUAAUCUCCUUUGACAACACCCUCCCAGACACACCCAGGAACAAUACCUUGCAUCUUUCAAUUCAAUCAAGUUGACACUCAAUCUUAACCAUCACAGCCUAUGAUUCAGCCUCAACAGAGACCAACCACAUGGCCAGCUCUAGACAAAGUGGGGGCCAGACCUUUAUAUCUCCCUAUAAACCAGUUCUUGGCUGUGGGCACCCUGAGAAGAGGGCAUGGUGGUGGGUGAGAUGACACUCUUCAUUUGAAGCAAUUCCGAUGAGGGCUGACAGCUGGGGCUCUCUGCCAGAAGCCCUUGCUGCAGCUGGUGGAGUAGCCCUUCAGUCUUGAGGAGACUCUGGGAUGACAUCACAGCAUCUGCUCCAGAAGUCUGCUGAACCCAUCCUGGCUAACUGUAAUGCAACUAUUAACCAUAAUACUUUCCUUUAAAAAUCUCAGACAAAUGCUGAAAGAGAUAAGAUACUGAGACAGGAAGUGUAAGCUGGAACUGUCUUAAGUGAAUCAGGAAAAAGUUAUCCUGUCUAUAAUGAAGUUCAGGGAGAAAGAACAACUUACAUUGAACAGCCUUGAAGAUUGUUUUAUCAGCUACUCUGGAAUUCAGUGUUGCGCCUCCUGAUUGAUGUGUCUGCUGAUUUUCCUUCAGGUGGUUUCAUUUCUUGUGCUGUUUGUAGUUUUUACUGUUAGCUCCUGCUAAACUGGGGUUGUUUUUCUAAGUAAAUCAUGCCCCCCCGCCAUGGCUCAAUUUUGCAUUUACUUUUGCAAGUAAAAUUUAGGGUUUCACUACUGUAGGAGCAGUUUUUAUAAUAUUCUCUUGGUUUGAGUUUAUUAAACUGGUUAGGCUUUGUAACUUCUGAUACCGUAUCUUUCUGGCUGUGGGCUUUCAAUUUCACAGGCGAUUUUGUUUUCCAUUCAGAUUCCCUGUGAUUCCUUUUCCCUUCCCUCAGCUGGUGGGUAGAGUUUUUACAGUCUUCUUUAUCCAAACAGAGCAGUCCUUUGAGGAACCUCUCUCUAGGCAGGAGUCUUAUUUCCAGCUUCUUGCCUCUCAGAGCCCCAGACCCAUGUCUCCUUUGCUUACAUUGCUUAUGUACAGUGUAAAUCCCAUUCAGAGCUGAUAUCCUACUCACACCCUCUGAGAUUCUUCUCUCAUCAGUUGCGGUAAUUACCAGUCUUGUUUUGAGUUAUGUUUUUAUUCUGAUUUCUCAAAGAUUUCCUCCUUUCCUCUUUCCUUUUAUUUCUUUCUUCCUUCUUUCUUCUGAGUGUAGAAUUUAAUUCUAUAUUAUUGCUCUAUACUUUAACCCAACAUUCCUAUGUGUUUUCAAUAGGAUCAAUAGUAUCUGGGUGUAGUGGUGAUGUUGGUGGAAGGAUGUAAAUUAAUUUUGUUCAUGUUGCCCAAGGAUCUUGAAUGAUCUUUGAAGAAUGAAAUAAAUCAUAUCACUCUGCAGGUUAAAUCAUUUCAUUGACUUGCUAUUGCACUUAAACUCCAAAUUCCUUCUUUUGGGUUUAUAUGUCUUAUACAAGUUGACCCCUAUCUCCCCAUGUAACCAAGCCUUAAGCUUUUCUCUGCAUCAUUCAAACUGCCUUCUUUCUUGCUUUAGAGUCAUUGUUCUAGCUGUUCCUUCUGCCUGAAAUGGUCCCUAGAUCUUUGCAUGGACAUGUGCAUUCUGUCAUCCAGAACACAGAAUUGUCACCUUCUGUGCUACUCCGUUUUCAUGCUGCUGAUAAAGACUGGGUAAUUUAUACAGGAAAAAGGUUUAAUGAACUCACACUUCCACAUGGCUGAGGAGGCCUCACAAUAAUGGUGAAAGGCAAGGAGGAGCAAGUCACGUCUUACAUGAAUGGCAGCAGGCAAAGAGCUUGUGCAGGGAAACUCCACCUUAUUAAGUCAUCAGAUCUCAUGAGACUUAUUCACUAUCAUAAGAACAGCAUGGGAAAGACCUGCCUCCAUGAUUCAGUUACCUCCCACUGGGUCCCUCCCACAACACCUGGGAAUUCAAAAUGAGAUUCAGGUGGGGACACAGCCAAACCAUAUCACCUUCCCAAAAAGAGUUUUCCUGAUCACCCUAUCACUCCCUCCCUCUCAUAACCCUGUGUCAUAGUCUACAUGACACAUAUCACUAUGUUAAUUAUACUUUUAAUUUAUGUUUUUACUUGUUUAUUUCAGAGGCCAGGCUAACAGGGAUUGCUGAUGGGGAAAUAAAGAAAUAAUCAAGGAUGAAUCCUAGAUCUGGGGCUUGAGCAAAUAGAGAGUCUAUCAUCUACGUAGAACUGAAGAUGACAGAAGACACCAAAGGAGGACGGGGGCUUCCAGGAAGAGCCAGUAAGAUGUGCUGAGUAGGAAGAUGUGAAGAAAAUUGUUGAACACAUCUGACAAUAGAAGACCUAAGGCCUAAGAAGUCCAUUUCAAUGAAUCACAAAAGAAAUCAAAGAACAGAAUUUCUCUCUUUUGAAGUAUUGCUUUAUCAAGUGCUGUGUGAAGAAUGGAAACAUGCAACAAUAAAGCCACCAGUCCUGGUGGACCUGAUGGCCUAUGUCUAGUGUGGCGGGGGACAGAUAAGUAAACAGAUCGUCCUAUAUGGGGUAGCCAACGCUAUCAUCUGAUAGAAGUAAGCAUGAGGUACCAGUCAAGUAUGCAAGUAUCUGUGCAUGAGAUGCUAGUCAAGUAUUUGUGUGUGCAUGUGUGAAGGCUUCCUGGAAGAGAUCACUGAAACUCUAAGAGUAGGUAGCCAGGUUAAGAAUGGGGGCAGAGCAGGAUAUUUGAGGCAGUGGAAGCAAUUUGAGCAAUGUGUGGAGCGGAGAGAGAACCUGACUUGUUUGAUAAGCUUGGAAGGUUAAUCAUAGCUAGAACAGGGUAUUGGAAGAGUUUUAUAGAGGAAAAGAUGACUAGAGGUAGGCUGCCAGAUGUUCUCUCCCAAAAUAUUUGACCAUCAGUGUGAGCAGGGCAGAUAUUAGUGUGAUUAUGAAAACAUAUAUGUGUGUGUGUAUAUAUACAUGUAUGUAUAUUUAAAUGCAUUACAUAUUUCAAUCAGUGAUAUGUGUUUUUCUAGGUAUCUUUUUGGCAUAUUUUUAAGAAACGCAUUUCAAAAAUUAAAUGUAGGUGUGAACCCUUCGCCACAUCCAAAGAACCAUUCUUGACACUCAUGCAGAACAUUUUAUGCCCCAGUUUGAAUAUCUGACUUCGGUUUAUCUCACUGAUACCUGUAGCCCCUCCAAAGUAGUGGUAGACAGAGCUGAGACAAGAAAUUUCACAGCUUUUUCCUAUUGUGGAACAAACAAUCAGCGUUUAAAACAUAUUGACUUACUGAAUUAAAGUAAGUCACUCCACCUCUUAAAGACUCAGUCACACAUCCAAUUUUCCAGUGGCCUCUGGCCACUGAGUGUCACAGAGUGUGGAAGCCUGUAGGGGCCAGUCCAGAGGAGAGACCACAUGGCCUGAUUACCCAGUAGAAAUUGAUAUUCACAAAAGAAUGCUGGCUCAAAAAAAUAAAUUGAAAAAAAAAAAACCCCAGCAACACAGUGAACAGGUGGCUUAGUAUGACUGGCCGUGCUUGCACUUUUUAAUGACCUGAUUUGUUUCCAAAAUUUGUUUUAGGUAAUGUAUUAGUCUGUUCUCAUGCUGCUGUAAAGAACUACCCAAGACUGGGUAAUUUAUAAAGAAAAGAGAUUUGAUUGACUCACAGUUCCACAGGCUGUACAGGAGGCAUGGCUUGGGAAGCCUCGAGAAACUUACAAUCAUGGCGGAAGGCAAAGGGGAAGCCAGCAUGUCUCACAUGGCAGGAGCAGGAGGAAUAGAGAGCAGGAGGAGGUGCUACACAUUUCAAAAAGCCAGAUCUCAUGAGAACUCACUCACUAUCAUGAGAACAGCAAGGGGGAAGUCCGCCCCCAUGACCCAGUCACCUCCCACCAGACCCCUCCUCCUCCAACACUGGGAUUACAAUUUGACAUGUGAUUUGGGUGGGGACACAGGGUCAAACCAUACCAGGUAACAAAACUCCAGUCUCAAAAAUGGUAAGUCAAUUUUAUUUCUAUUCUUAAAACUGGUGUUGAUGAUGAUGAUGAUAGCAGUUAUUUGUACAGUAACAUGCCCAAGACAAAUCCCAAGAGAGGAACAUAAACAAAAUCAAGUGGGGAGAUUUGACUUUGCCCAAGUUCUUCUCAACUAGAAAUUUCUAAAGGUGUUUUGUGUGGAGUGCUGCGCUAUGUGCAGUUUUCAGCUAUUUAACCUCAAGGAUGUCAAACUGUUGGAAGAGAUUCAAAGAAGGAUAAUCAAACUUGGAUGGAGCUGACUUUAAGAAAUGGGCUAACCUCCAGAAAGAAUGCCAUUGAAUUCAGAGAGAGGUGCCGUUGAAUCAGCCCUUGCUGAUGAAGCCUCUUCACUGUACUGCUCAGACCUCUCCAUCCUGGUGGCAAGGGCUUAGACCAUUAUUCAUGGUCUGACUGGCCUCGAGGUGGCUGUCUCGCCUUUGAAAAAGGGCAGACACAGAGCAUGUUCAGAGCACGGAGCCAUACUGUGCGAUUUCUUCAAAGAGAGCUUAACCACAGAAUUUGGAUUAAUGAAUGACGUAACUGCUUCAGGGCAACAGACCCUCACUGCAGCUGCUUAGCCCAGGAAGCAGCAAGGUCAAUACAAGGAGAGCCACAGGCCUGGGGAGACGCGUGCCUUCCUUCCUGGCCAGGUGGAUCUCACUACUUAGCCCAGAUGGCCUGCGAGAAGGACAAAGCCAAGCACUUCACAACAGUCAGUUGCUGUCCUGAAGAAGGUGGCCAGGAGCUCUAGAAGGAUUCAAAGCCACAGGGAUUUUUGGUUUUUAUGUAUACACUUCUCUUUACAUACUUGUUCCUCAACAUCCAAUCAGCCUUGCAGGGAGGAUAUAAUAGCCAGAAAAAUAAGUGAACAGAAGAUUCCGGGUUCUACUUUAUGCCAAUUUUUCUUAAAUAUCUCAGUCACUAGAAAAGGAUCUAUUUGAAAAUCUUGCUCUGAGCAGUUUCUGUCUUGGGCCCAGUUGUUUGAGGAGCCUGUUGAAUUUUUAAAUUUAUUAGUGUUCCCAUGCUUCAUUCAUUGGCAUAUAUGUAUAUUCUUUAUACUUUAUAAUUACAAGUAAGCUCUUGAUAAUAAAAAGUAACUGUCA
This is a long non-coding RNA of Gorilla gorilla gorilla (western lowland gorilla), 7026 nucleotides long. RefSeq lists it as uncharacterized. NCBI's taxonomy places the organism in Eukaryota, Metazoa, Chordata, Mammalia, Primates, Hominidae. The record is from RefSeq and is a predicted model, not a curated record. The transcript has 7 exons.